Long non-coding RNA from Schistocerca gregaria, 756 nucleotides. RefSeq lists it as uncharacterized. The transcript is spliced from 4 exons. Lineage: Eukaryota; Metazoa; Arthropoda; Insecta; Orthoptera; Acrididae. The record is from RefSeq and is a predicted model, not a curated record.
CAGAACUCUUCCAAAAAAGCAGAAAUGACAAAAAUAAGCAUUUAUCAAAGAGAGAGGUGCACAUGUAUCCUUCUUACAAGUGCGCUAUCUAUACACCCUACACACACCUUAGCCGUUGUACCCACCCACACAUAAAGCACCUAAAAUAGAUACGCACCGUGCGCAGUUAUGCGCGUUGCUGCGCGUGUACAGACGAACAUAUAGUAAACCUGCUUCUUUUCAGUUCAAUUAUCUCGUGUCCUUUUGCGCUUUUCCCUAUCCGACGGAGAGAAAUAUGUCAUCCGUCUCUUCAACCUCACUGUCGAGUACUGAUGCUCAGCCGGUAGAUGAAGACCUCCAAGCGGCUAUCAGGCUGUUUCGCACUAACGACGACUUUCGCAGUGAGCUCAAGUCGGUCAUCUCCGAAUCGCUCCAACCACUAGUCCUCAAGAUAAAAGCAGAACUCCUCUCUGAACUCUCUCCUCAAGACAUCUCCGUAUCGAAUUGCAAAAAACUACUCAAGCCAGCCUUCAACCCAAGUAACUACAUUUACAGAGAAUUCCCUUACGCAGAGGUAACCGCAUGGACGUACUAUGAUACAGAGGGGUUUGUCUAUGGAUUUCCUGAAGAAAUAACUGUCACCGUAUUUACACAAAACUCAGUCAGCUACCUAUGCAAUUUCAAAGAUGUCGUCAACGCUGCCAACGUCAUCUUCCUGAUUCGCGUAGGAAAGUUGUACAAAACAGUUAACCAAGUGAAGUCUUUGUCCUGCGUCAU